This 344-nucleotide ribosomal RNA is filed under the name uncultured archaeon. RNAcentral's name for it is "bacterial SSU rRNA". It matches the Rfam family "Archaeal small subunit ribosomal RNA", at positions 361 to 704 of the family's 1478-position model. The record is from RNAcentral.
GAAAGCCUGACAGAGGUUACUCUGGAGUGAUUUCCGUUAAGGAGAUCUUUUGGCACCNUCUAAAAAUGGUGCAGAAUAAGGGGUGGGCAAGUCUGGUGUCAGCCGCCGCGGUAAUACCAGCACCCCGAGUGGUCGGGACGUUUAUUGGGCCUAAAGCAUCCGUAGCCGGUUCUACAAGUCUUCCGUUAAAUCCACCUGCUUAACAGAUGGGCUGCGGAAGAUACUAUAGAGCUAGGAGGCGGGAGAGGCAAGCGGUACUCGAUGGGUAGGGGUAAAAUCCGUUGAUCCAUUGAAGACCACCAGUGGCGAAGGCGGCUUGCCAGAACGCGCUCGACGGUGAGGGA